CCGGACUCCUACGGGAGCCGGACUUCGUCUCUGACUCUAACUGCAAGAAGACUUCAUCCGAACUCCUACGGGAGCCAGACUUCAACCCCGACUUCGACUACAGGAAGCCUUCAUCCGGACUCCUACGAGAGCCGGACAUCAUCCCUGACUUCAGCAGCAGGAAGACUUCAUCCGAACUCCUAUGGGAGCCAAACUUCAUCUCCGACUCCAAC
RNAcentral lists this long non-coding RNA (212 nucleotides) under Elaeis guineensis (African oil palm). Its description in RNAcentral is "long non-coding RNA (EGUI_LNC075431)". The record is from RNAcentral. Lineage: Eukaryota; Viridiplantae; Streptophyta; Magnoliopsida; Arecales; Arecaceae.